RNAcentral lists this ribosomal RNA (580 nucleotides) under uncultured Chitinophagaceae bacterium. Its description in RNAcentral is "bacterial SSU rRNA". It matches the Rfam family "Bacterial small subunit ribosomal RNA", at positions 102 to 680 of the family's 1533-position model. The record is from RNAcentral. Lineage: Bacteria; Pseudomonadati; Bacteroidota; Chitinophagia; Chitinophagales; Chitinophagaceae.
ACGGGUGCGGAACACGUACGCAACCUUCCUUCGAGUGGGGGAUAGCCCGGGGAAACCCGGAUUAAUACCCCGUAAUAUUGUUGAGUGGCAUCACUUGGCAAUUAUAGCUCCGGCGCUUGAAGAUGGGCGUGCGUCUGAUUAGGUAGUUGGCGGGGUAACGGCCCACCAAGCCUUCGAUCAGUAACUGGUGUGAGAGCACGACCAGUCACACGGGCACUGAGACACGGGCCCGACUCCUACGGGAGGCAGCAGUAAGGAAUAUUGGUCAAUGGACGCAAGUCUGAACCAGCCAUGCCGCGUGGAGGAUGAAGGCCCUCUGGGUUGUAAACUUCUUUUAUCUGGGAAGAAACCUACGAUUUCUAUUGUAGCCGACGGUACCAGAUGAAUAAGCACCGGCUAACUCCGUGCCAGCAGCCGCGGUAAUACGGAGGGUGCAAGCGUUAUCCGGAUUCACUGGGUUUAAAGGGUGCGUAGGUGGGUUGGUAAGUCAGUGGUGAAAUCUCCGGGCUUAACUCGGAAACUGCCGUUGAUACUAUCAAUCUUGAAUAUCGCGUAGGUAAGCGGAAUAUGUCAUGUAGCG